RNAcentral lists this transfer RNA (71 nucleotides) under Ginkgo biloba (maidenhair tree). RNAcentral describes it as "tRNA-Gly". The record is from RNAcentral. Lineage: Eukaryota; Viridiplantae; Streptophyta; Ginkgoopsida; Ginkgoales; Ginkgoaceae.
UGCGGAUAGCGGGAAUCGGACCCAUAUCCUCUGCUUGGGAGGCGUACAAUCUACCUUUGAUCUAUAUCCGC